CAGGAAUCUCCUUGUUGUACAGGUGACAAGAUCAGGUUAAUCACAUCUGUACUACAAUCCCCUAAUGUCCUAAUUUGUAUGUUAUUGUCUCUAGCAUAUAUCAGGAACUGCUAGUUGGCAUUGUCUGGGAGAAAAAAGACAGUUUUUUUUUUUUUUUUUUUUUUUUUUUUUUUUUAUGCCCAGGAGCAACUGAAUUUCAGAACACAGCCAGAGACUGACUGGUAAGAAUCUGCAAUUUUGACAUUUAGUUUCUCCUUCCCUCUCAGUGAAGGUCUGUGAGCAUUCACAUUUUGCUGGGAGUCUGGAACCAAUAAGGAGUGUGUUCUCAUUUCCGCCAAUGGAAAGCAAAUCCUCAGGAAAGCUUGGGGAUCUCCUUCAGAGCUGCUGAUUCAUUUCUCCCUCACAUCUAAACGUGCACUGCCGCAGAAACCAUGAAAAAGAAAUUGGAUGACAGACAAAAUGAAACUCGUCCUAGGUCAUGUAUACAGUAACAAACAAAAGAGAAAAGCGUCCCGGGGCAGCUACAGAUCAUGGAGAAGCAUGUGGUGUGAAAUUAAACAUCAACUCUGCAGGUUCAACUUCCAGGUUGUUGUUGCUGUUUUUUAGGAUACAGGCUUCAGAAUUGAAGAGCCCUCAUCAAGUGGCUGAUGGAAGCAGAGACAGACAUCCACAGAUAUACACUGAGCUGAAAUCGAGAAUUUAGUUGAAGAGAGGGAGGAAUGAAGAGCAAAGGGGUUAGUACCAGGUUGGAGACACCAACAGGAACAAUUGGCCUGAACAAGGGAGAGCAAAUUGACCCCAGAUGCUGUCUGGGAGGCCAGUACAAGACUGAUCCAGACCCCUGAACAUGGAUAUCAGUAAGGAGGUCUCUGCACUCCAGGGAGCCUCUGGUGGUGGAUUAGUAUUUUUCCCAGUGCAAGAAGGGAUUUUGAGAGCCCAUCCCAUGUGAAGGGUUAAACUCUGGACCUGGACACAUGGGGAAGGGACCAGGACCAGCACAGGAAGAUUUUGUGGACUUUGCAGAGCCCCUGUUGAGGGCCCUACCCUGCCUGGGG
RNAcentral lists this long non-coding RNA (1055 nucleotides) under Cricetulus griseus (Chinese hamster). RNAcentral's name for it is "lncRNA (ENSCGRG00015036918.1)". Lineage: Eukaryota; Metazoa; Chordata; Mammalia; Rodentia; Cricetidae. The record is from RNAcentral.